Molecule: ribosomal RNA, 789 nt
Filed under: uncultured Methanomassiliicoccales archaeon
Lineage: Archaea; Methanobacteriati; Thermoplasmatota; Thermoplasmata; Methanomassiliicoccales
Description: bacterial SSU rRNA
Rfam family: Archaeal small subunit ribosomal RNA
Source: RNAcentral
ACGGCUCAGUAACACGUGGAUAACGUGCCCUUUGGUGGAGGAUAAUCUCGGGAAAUUGAGGAUAAUACUCCAUAGAUCAUGAGAUCUGGAAUGACUUAUGGUCCAAAGUUCCGGCGCCUAAGGAUUGGUCUGCGGCCUAUCAGGUUGUAGUGGGUGUAACGGACCCACUAGCCGAUGACGGGUAUGGGCCUUGAGAGAGGGAGCCCAGAGAUGGAAUCUGAGACACGAAUCCAGGCCCUACGGGGCGCAGCAGUCGCGAAAACUUCACACUGGGGGCAACCCCGACGAGGGAAUUCCUAGUGCUAGCACAUUAGUGUUAGCUUUUCUUCAGCGUAGAUAACUGGAGGAAUAAGGGCUGGGUAAGACGGGUGCCAGCCGCCGCGGUAAUACCUGCAGCCCAAGUGGUGGUCGAUAUUAUUGAGUCUAAAACGUUCGUAGCCGGUCUAAUAAAUCCUUGGGUAAAUCGGGGGGCUUAACCUUCCGAAUUCCGAGGAGACUGUUAGACUUGGGACCGGGAGAGGCAAGAGGUACUUCUGGGGUAGGGGUAAAAUCCUGUAAUCCUAGAAGGACCACCGGUGGCGAAGGCGUCUUGCUAGAACGGAUCCGACGGUGAGGGACGAAGCCCUGGGUCGCAAACGGGAUUAGAUACCCCGGUAGUCCAGGGUGUAAACGCUGCAGACUUGGUGUUGGGGGCCCUUCGGGGGCAUUCAGUGCCGGAGAGAAGUUGUUAAGUCUGCUACUUGGGGAGUACGUCCGCAAGGAUGAAACUUAAAGGAAUUGGCGGGGGAG